This 468-nucleotide ribosomal RNA is filed under the name uncultured bacterium. RNAcentral's name for it is "partial 16S ribosomal RNA". It matches the Rfam family "Bacterial small subunit ribosomal RNA", at positions 28 to 507 of the family's 1533-position model. The record is from RNAcentral.
GACGAACGCUGGCGGCGUGCUUAACACAUGCAAGUCGAACGGAAAGGCCCUGCUUUUGUGGGGUGCUCGAGUGGCGAACGGGUGAGUAACACGUGAGUAACCUGCCCUUGACUUUGGGAUAACUUCAGGAAACUGGGGCUAAUACCGGAUCGGAGCUCCUGCUGCAUGGUGGGGGUUGGAACGUUUCGGCGGUUGGGGAUGGACUCGCGGCUUAUCAGCUUGUUGGUGGGGUAGUGGCUUACCAAGGGUUUGACGGGUAGCCGGCCUGAGAGGGUGACCGGCCACAUUGGGACUGAGGUACGGACCAGACUCCUACGGGGGGCAGCAGUGGGGAAUAUUGCACAAUGGGCGGAAGCCUGAUGCAGCAACGCCGCGUGCGGGAUGACGGCCUUCGGGUUGUAAACCGCUUUCGCCUGUGACGAAGCGUGAGUGACGGUAAUGGGUAAAGAAGCACCGGCUAACUACGUG